Molecule: long non-coding RNA, 748 nt
Organism: Caenorhabditis elegans
Lineage: Eukaryota; Metazoa; Nematoda; Chromadorea; Rhabditida; Rhabditidae
Gene: linc-126
Product: ncRNA
Source: Ensembl
AGACAGGCUCAUCCUUCCCUCCUAUCUCAUCCCCACUUCACUUCAUAUUCUGUUUUCCUGUGUUCUACUAUGCUCAGUAUCUAUGAGCAUCUCCUGAACCGAGAAGAAUGAAGGAAAAACGAAAGAGCAUCCUAAUCCUGGCUGUGGCUCAAUAAAAACGAGUGGGCUGCACAUCCAUCUAUUCAAAAAUCUUUGGCAGGAUUACUCGGAUUACAGAAUUAUGAUGAUGAUGAAGAUUUAGACGGGGAUAUCUAGCUAAGCAUUGGAAAACCAAAAAGAAGCGGAGUACUACUAUUACUUCUACUACAUCACUACUAAUGUGCCCACUUUGAAAUUCUGAAUUAAUGGCAUCGUAAAUCUGGUUUACUCUGGUUCAGGCAGCUGGCUCAGUUCUGACCGAGUGCGACUAUAACACCAGAUGUCGUAAGGAUCUUCCGAUAGAUCUCUCAGUACCGGUAUUCAUCGUAGAACUAUACGUCACUACGAUUUGAGAUUCCGAAGGUCACUCAGCGCGUGGGACGAUGUAGCUUCACAAAUGGAAAGUAGAGAGUGGGAGGACAAAAAACGAAGAAUCGGACUGCACAGGACGAGACAGGAAAUUGUUUAGGAAUCUACAACGAGGAGUGAGGACGAAGAAGAAGACGAAGAGUCGCAUCUUCCGCCAACACACUUUUUGCACAUACACACAUGCUUCAUCGUAUUCUUGGAGAUUUCUGCUCCAUCUUUUAAACAAAGAAGUAUAAACUGC